RNAcentral lists this ribosomal RNA (506 nucleotides) under uncultured bacterium. Its description in RNAcentral is "partial 16S ribosomal RNA". It matches the Rfam family "Bacterial small subunit ribosomal RNA", at positions 30 to 523 of the family's 1533-position model. The record is from RNAcentral.
AUUGAACGCUGGCGGCAGGCCUAACACAUGCAAGUCGAACGGUAACAGGAAACAGCUUGCUGUUUCGCUGACGAGUGGCGGACGGGUGAGUAAUGUCUGGGAAACUGCCUGAUGGAGGGGGAUAACUACUGGAAACGGUAGCUAAUACCGCAUAACGUCGCAAGACCAAAGAGGGGGACCUUCGGGCCUCUUGCCAUCAGAUGUGCCCAGAUGGGAUUAGCUAGUAGGUGGGGUAAUGGCUCACCUAGGCGACGAUCCCUAGCUGGUCUGAGAGGAUGACCAGCCACACUGGAACUGAGACACGGUCCAGACUCCUACGGGAGGCAGCAGUGGGGAAUAUUGCACAAUGGGCGCAAGCCUGAUGCAGCCAUGCCGCGUGUGUGAAGAAGGCCUUCGGGUUGUAAAGCACUUUCAGCGGGGAGGAAGGCGGUGAGGUUAAUAACCUCAUCGAUUGACGUUACCCGCAGAAGAAGCACCGGCUAACUCCGUGCCAGCAGCCGCCGUAA